RNAcentral lists this long non-coding RNA (5807 nucleotides) under Sus scrofa (pig). RNAcentral's name for it is "lncRNA (ENSSSCG00030030809.1)". Lineage: Eukaryota; Metazoa; Chordata; Mammalia; Artiodactyla; Suidae. The record is from RNAcentral.
AUGAAUGUUUAAGGUUCAAUUUCUGUCAUAAAUCUCAACUCAAAAAAUAAAAAGGAAUUGGCUUCCACAAGUGCUGAAAAAAAAAUUCCUCAGGAGUUCUCAUUGUAGCUCAGCAGGUUAAGAACCCAACUAGUAUUCAUGAGGAUGCGGAUUUGAUCUCUGGCCCCAUUCUGUGGGUUAAGGAUCUGGUGUUGUCGUGUGCUGUGGCACAGAUCACAGAUGUGCUCAGAUACCCAUGGCUGUGGUGUUGGCCAGCAGCUGCAGCUCUGAUUCAGCCCCUAGACUGGGAACUUCCAUGUGCUGUGGGUGUGGCCCUAAAAAGAAAAAAAAAAAAAAGAAAGAAAAAGAAAAAAUCCUCAGACACCAUUCUAUCAAGAGGAACCAGGGCUGGCUGCCAAGAGAGACAAGGCAGUCCUUUCUUUCAAACAGCCCUCUUCAGGCUUCAAGCCACCUGAGACCCAGCCCCAGGUCUGCCUGUGCCCCACUCCCUUCCCAGUGACUUGGGCGAAUCGUUGUACUUCUUUGCACCUGAUUCCUCACCUAUGAAGAUGACGGCAGUUUUUCUACCUGCUUCACAGGGUGGCUGUAAGGAUCAGGUUUGUGCAAAAGCAGGCCAGGGACUGAUGAGGCGAUGCAUGCAGAUGGAGGCUACGGAGAUUGGCCAGGGAGGUGAGGAGGUGGGGUUCUGUCCUUCUCCCACCUAAAUGGCAGAUGAGAGAAGGAGGAGGAGGCUGCUAAUGUCAAGGACGACCACAGCCAUGACAAUGACGCUUGUCAUCUCAGAGCAGAUUCUGUACACAGGCUGAGCAGCAACCAGGUAGAAAUGGGCAAGGCUCAGGCAGACCCCUGUUUCUCCUCUCCCUGAGAGCCCACCUUGGUUUAGGGCAUAAUCCUAGACCAGGACACUCACAUGAUUUAACUCGUUUCGGCAAUUUCUUUCCAGCAUUUUUUUUUUGUUUGUUUGUUUGUUUGUUUACAUUAAGGAUAAGUGUUCCAGGGUACGUGUCAAAAAGAAAAUGAUCAGAGUAGAAUGAGUGGCAUCAACUGCCACUGAUAACCAAGGCUCCAGGCAAUAACAUGGAUAUGCUGCCUUUCCUCCCAGAUGCUCAGCAAGCAGGUGCAGAUGAGAUCUCAUAUUUGCACCAGACGCUUCCCCUGGCCCCACAGGAAAAGUGAGCCCCUCCCCACUCAGGGAUGCUCUCCCAAGAUGUUGCAGCAAUCUUUAUGAGCCAGAGAGCAGAGGAGGGCAACUGAUGUUUAUUGGGUGCUAACGAGUACUUUACUUAAUCCUCACAAUUAUCCUAUGCAAUAAAAAUCAUUAUCCCCAUCUUAUAGAUGAGACGACGCGAAGUCUUAGAGAUAAAGUGACUUGUCCAAGAUCACAUUGCUAAUAAGCAGAGGAACUGGAGCUUGAGAAAGGCCUGGCUCAGAGCAUUGGAUGCUAAGUGCUGUGGGAAAUGCAGACAUCAAUGUUCCAGGGUUAACACACCCUUUAGGAAACUUUCAGUCCAGUGAGGGAAACAACAGGUGCAACUGACAUAAAAUAUAAGGUGGGCUGCAGUAAGCAGAACCUGAAAGUAAUGGACUCUGAGUUCCCAGAGGAAGGAACAAUGAAUUUUGACUCCGAUCCAGAUGGCACUUAAAGGGGGCCAUGAAAGACGGUAGAACCACAGCAGGAGGAAAAUGGAGAGAUGCAGGGGAGGGAUGGAGAGGCGGUGGGGGGAUAGACACUAGCCUGGCAAAGGCCUGGGAGUCUGAGAAUACCUGCCAGAUUGCUCAGUCAGGAAGGUAGAGACCACGUGACUUUCCUGCUUCCAGUUCCUUCUCUUCCAGGAUAAGGCGCAGGCACCUAAACCAGCAUAACCAGGGCCUUCAGACACUGGGCUCCCCCAAAAGCCAUGAACUGCCAUAGUCAUGUCAGUCUCCCCAACUUUCCCCACCUUCUUUCACACUGAGAUCAUUAUUUUAUUUUGUUUUGUUUUGUUUUAUUUUUUCUUUUUGUCCAUGCCUGUGGCAUGUGGAAGUUCCUGGGCCCGGAAAUGAACCUGUGCCACAGCAGCAACCCAAGGCACAGUGGCAAUGCCAGAUCCUUAACCCACUGAGCCACCAGGGAACUCUCAGAAGUCCUUCUUCUUCUUCUUUUUUUUUUUUUUUUGCUUUUUAGGGCCGCACCUAUGGCAUGCGGAAUUGUCCGGGCUAGGGAUGGAAUCAGAGCUGCAGCUGCCAGCCAACAUCACAGCCACAGCAACGUGGGAUCUGAAUCGUGUCUGUGACCUAUACCACUGCUCGUGGCAAUGCUGGAUCCUUAACCCACUGAGCGAGGCCAGGGAUCAAACCUACAUUCUUAUGGAUACUAGCUGGGUUCCUAACCCACUGAGCCACUAUGGGAACUCCUGAAGAAGCCUUUUAGAAACAGGAACCAGAGAGCACAGAGCACAUCCAAGCUCUGGCUAAGGUGGCUGGGCACUGUCCUGGAGGGUUGGCAGUAUGCCAUGAUGCCAGACACCACUGCUGUGGCCAGGUCUGGGGAGGGGUGAGAAAUUGCCUUGUAUGCAGAGGAGCUCUUAAGAAAUACUACGUGAAUAAGUGGAAGCCUUGGGAAACCACCUAUUAUAUGACUAAGGCUCUGAGACAUCUCUGUUGAUGGCCUGGCAGAGCGCUCGCCAGCCGAAUCCAUCACUGAAAACCUCAGAGAGCUUCUGGGUGCAUUCAGAUUAUGGGUUGUGGGAAUCUCAGGUCAUAAAACUUUCGCCCAGCUGCUCAGGUGCCUGGCCAGGCAAUUAAGGAUUCUUUCAAGCAGAUCAAAAGACGCUGGUGAGGUGAUCUCAGGAAGCUUCCCUGUGAGGAAGGCAGGAGUCAGGUCUCAUUAUCCUCAUCUUACAGAUGAGAAAAGUAGGUUCCCUGGUGACUAAGUCCCUUGCCUGAAGUCAAACAGCCAGCAAAGGGUGGAACCCAAAAUGAGCAGCUCAGUCACCCAAUUCCCAGGACACCAUCAUCCCAGAGCCUCCCAUUCCAUGGAAGCUGGAGUGCUCCCGGGAAGUCUGGACCCACAUUUGGGAUGUUAGGGCAUGGAGUGGUCCACAGAGACUCUUCCAACAAUUCAGCAUCCACGGACACUUAACACGUCCACGCAGUGACUUGGCAUCUGCCCUUUGCAACAUCAAGAACACAAGACCCCAACCUACCAACAUGGUUAUUCCUUGGCCCCCUUCUAUGCAAACCAUUGCAGAGGGCAUCCAUUUUAGCGGUCAUCUUACAGAACUUCUGUACCUGACUUCAGAUCCCAGUUCUGUGCUAUUCCCAGGACCUAAGUCUCACUUCCUGCAUAUGAGAUUUGGAGAUAAUUCAAAAUUCCUCUCCAGCUGGGUUAUUGUGAGGUCAGGUGCAUCAAAAGCAGAGCCGAGAGCCCGGCACGUGGUAACCACUUAUUAAAUAUCAGCAAUUAUUAAUGGCAUUGCUCAUAUGAGAGAUCUGAGCUUGAAAAGCAAUUCCCCGUUCUUUAGCUGUUCACAGCCUGCCUGCUAAGGGAUUAGGUUUGACUUUUAGUAUUUGACCAACUCCCUUCCUUACAGGACAUGGAAGUUCAUUUUUACUCUUCUUUUUUUUGUGUGUGUGUGUCUUUUUGUCUUUUGUUUUUUUUCUAGGGCCGCACCCAUGGCAUAUGGAGGUUACCCGGCUAGAGGUCUAAACAGAGCUGUAGCCACUGGCCUACACCACAGCCACAGCAAUGCAGGAUCCGAGCCGCAUAUGCGACCUACACCACAGCUCACGGCAAUGCCGGAUCCUUAACCCACUGAGCGAGGCCAGGGAUUGAACCGGCAACCUCAUGGUUCCUAGUCGGAUUUGUUUCUGCUGCACCACAACGGGAACUCCUCAUUUUUAUUCUUAACAAUCUCAGCUACUUGCCAUGUUUUAAAAGCAAAGUAUACCUGUUAUAGCCAGAAUGCUCUAAAAGUCAGAGAGGCAUCUGGUUUGUCAUGGCCUCAAAAUCCUCUCUGGGGUCCUGCCUUGUACCUCCCUAGUCUUUCCAUUGCCAUCUGGUCAUCAGUAGGACCAGGGUCCAACCAAUGAAAGGCAGCUAGCCAAGAGAGGCCAGAGGUUGGGAUUCUGAUGCAAGUUGGCAUGGGCACCUGUGGUCCCUGACUCUAAUAGCAUCUUGGUUUGCAUCAGUGUUAUGGUGUCUCCUGACCUGGAAGGCUGUUUCUCCCAACGAACCCUGGUUACUCAAUAUGCUUGAAAAGGAGUGUAUCUUCUUGUAGGCUCUUACUCUUUUUUUUUUUUUUUGUCUUUUUGCCUUUUCUAGGGCCACACCCUCGGCAUAGGGAAAUUCCCAGGCCAGGGGUUGAAUCGGAGCUGUAGCCACCGGCCUACGCCAGAGCCACAGCAACGCAGGAUCCGAGCCGCGUCUGCAACCUACACCACAGCUCUCGGCAACGCCGGAUCCUUCACCCACUGAGCAAGGGCAGGGACCGAACCCGCAACCUCAUGGUUCCUAGUCGGAUUCGUUAACCACUGCGCCACGACGGGAACUCCGUCUGCUGACACUUCUGAAGGCAGUGGGGAGAAGGACCCUGGUUUCUCCCUUCCUGAUGCCCUUCCAAAGUGGUCCAUUGCCUCCCAUUGACUGGACCAAGCCAGAAACCAGUGGACACAAGAGUGACAAAGGGAUCUGGAGCCAACCAGCCCUGGGCCAAAGAAGCAGUCUACUUACAGCAAUGCAGUAAGACUCUAGAAAUGAGUCUCAUCACAAAGAGACUCAGAAUCCCAAAGACUCAGACUCUGGAAGACCAUGGGAAUCCAUCUGGCCUGACCCCUCAUUCCACAAGUGAGGCCUUGAAGAGGAAAAGAAUGUGACUUGCCCCAAAUCCUCUAGCUAGGGGCAGCCUGAAGCCCAGGCAUCUGAAUUCCCAGGUCAUAGCCUUUUCGCAGCAUUAACUUUACAAGGAUGAGUAGCACUUCAACUUAACAAAGGGAUGUAUUCCAGUAGUUGAUUUUUUUUGUUUGUUUGUUUUUACAGCUGCACCUGCCGCACACAGAAGUUCCCCGGCUAGGGGUCAAAUCAGAGCUACAGCUGCGGCCGACACCACAGCCUCAGCACCAUGGGAUCUGAGCCUCAUCUGUGACUUAUGCCGCAGCUUGCAGCAAUGCCAGAUCCUUAACCCACUGAGCAAGGCCAGGGAUCAAACUCUAAUCCUCAAAGACAGCAUCAGGUCCUUAACUCACUGAGCCACAAUGGGAACUCCUAACAGUUGAUUUCUAAGACAGUUGUUUGGAUCUUUGUACUCAUUUUCCCGUAGAAACAAAGUUAUCUUGGCUGAUUAUGGUCCCAGACUGGCUGUUUAGCCCACAACCAGGGAAAGAAGGAAACUUCCUUCUCCCAGUUAAUGUGAAAUCCAGAGGCGGAUCAGCCUCUCUUUCCCAGGGCAGAACAGAAGAGCCUCCCCAUCUCCUUGCUUUACCAUUAAGGGGGUGCUGGGGGGGGGAACCACCCUGCCUCCAUCACUCCUCUCCCAUCACAGCCAGACUCUCCCACAGUGGUCACUCCUGUGGCUGCAGGGCCAACAGCAGAGCAGACUCCCCUGGAAGGCUGGAAGCAGGGUUUUUUGUUUUGUUUUGUUUUGUUUUGUUUUGGGGGGGUUUCGUUGUUGUUUUUGCCCUUCAAACCUUUGCACUGUUGGCACUCCCCUAGUCACUGGCCCACCUCAGGCCUGCAAUUGUCGCCGUGGGGUCUGAAUCAGCAUCUUCAAAGUACAGGCAUUAUUAUGAGAUCAUUUUACAUUUGGAAAAAUGAAAAAAAAACAAAAAAA